Molecule: non-coding RNA, 81 nt
Organism: Lactifluus volemus
Lineage: Eukaryota; Fungi; Basidiomycota; Agaricomycetes; Russulales; Russulaceae
Source: the annotation of a GenBank genome assembly
GGCCGCCUGGCGAAAUGGCAUCGCGUCUGACUACGACCUGUCGGAAUCAGGAGAUUGCAGGUUCGACCCCUGCGGUGGUCA